Molecule: long non-coding RNA, 839 nt
Filed under: Sus scrofa (pig)
Lineage: Eukaryota; Metazoa; Chordata; Mammalia; Artiodactyla; Suidae
Description: lncRNA (ENSSSCG00070007489.1)
Source: RNAcentral
AUGUCUGUGUCUCUGCAGUAUGUUUCAUGGAGAGUCUGAGUGACAGCAACCAUGAUGAAAGUGAUACAGGUAAGAACAGCUCUCAGGUAGGAGCCAAUGGGAGAGGGAUCCCGGGACACUUGGGUGACGCCUGCUGCUUGGAGUGUGGGGCAGGUGAGUCUGAAACUUAAAAACAGAAAGAAAUUGAUGUAAAGAUGUUCACCGCCUACUUUAAUAAGGAGAGGGAGCAGAUAUGAGAUGCCUGAAUGUUGGCAUCUGUGCUCACCUUGUGUGGAAGGGUCUCAGUCCAUGGAGCAGAGGGAAGGUCUGGGCACCUGGAGGAAAAACCAGGGUGAUGCUCUGUACCCGUAGUCACCUCAGGGAAGCCGGAGAAACGGGAGGGCCACUCUUUCUAACUCCUUGAUUCCCCUGAUGGUGUGUUUCUACAGACUCAGUGGUGGAGAGCCUGAGCAGCCGCCAGGAUGAGGAGGCUGCAGCAACCCUCGAUGAUGUUGUGGAGGCCGGCGGGAGUGAGAAGACGGAGGAAGAGGCCCUGGCUGGGGCAAAUGAGGAGGAGGUGGGGCCGGGAACUGAGAAGGUGCAGGAGGAGGCUGCCUGCAUUGACGAGGCAGAGGAGGAGGCAGGCCCAUCCCUUGAAAAUGACGAGGAGUCCCCAGCCAGCGACCUGGUUGAGCAGGAAGACCAGCUUGCCCCCAAGGUAAGCUCACCUUUCUUGAUCGGAGAUUUAAAAAGGUGCCUCCUUUCUUCUUGGAUGUGCCUACUUCAGAAAAGGAAAUCUGAGCAAGUCCAUUAUAGAGGAUAUAUGCACAUUCCUCUGUGGAGGAAUGUUGAGUCAAAGU